Long non-coding RNA from Papio anubis (olive baboon), 2435 nucleotides. NCBI's taxonomy places the organism in Eukaryota, Metazoa, Chordata, Mammalia, Primates, Cercopithecidae. The record is from Ensembl.
GCCGAACAAAAGCUAUUCCUAAAGCUAGGAUAUGGGGAGCCUCAGAAAUUGUAUUCUUCCUAUUCAUAUAAGUGAGGACAAAAGUCAUCACUCUUCCAACUCUGGGGAUCCCUUCUGUCCCUCAGGGUAUGGCCCUCCACUUCAUUUUUGGGGCAUAAUAUCUUCAUAGGACACAGGUAAGGUCUCAAUACUAACAGGAGAAUGCUUAGGAAUCUAACAGGUAUUUGAGAAUGCAUCAGUAAGGGCCACUAAAUCCGACUUUUCUUGAUUCUCUUUGUGGUCUAGGAGGACAGGCAAGGGUGCAGGUUUUUGAGAAUGCAUCAGUAAGGGCCACUAAAUCCAACUUUCCUCAGUCCUCCUUGUGGUCUAGUGUUUCUGCUGCUGCUUCAGGAAGCACAACUAUUCAGAUCAGCAGGGUCCAGGGACUGUUGUGGUUUCUUGGGCAAGAGAUGUUUCUACUGCUGCAUUGUUAAGGUGGCAGGAGUGCAAUCUUGGAUUCACCACACCCGAGUUAAAUUUUGGACAUCCCCUGAGGAACCUGUGGGACCGUCAGCUCAGGAGUCCCAAGAUCAGCCAGACCAGCCUUGAUACACGUGUGAACCAUUGGAGGACUUGCAUCUUCUAUUUCAGAAGGAAACAUCACAGACUAAAAAAGCUGCUACCACUGAUCCUGAAGAAAAACACCUUCCUCCUUAAAAAAGAUAAGUGAAAACCUAUAUAAUCUUUAACACCUCUCUGUGCCCCUUUAAUGGAAUCCUUUUACUAUUUCAUCAUAUUAUUAAGCAGCAUACUAACCAUACUCUUCGCAGUAAGGCUAUAUACUAUAGCUCCUGCCGGGAUGAAAAUAAUAUAGAACACAGAGAGCCACUCAGUUUGUUCCCAGUACCCCUUUCCAGCCACUCACCGGAGCUAUCUUGGGAAGCACUCUAGGAGUAUGGGAAAAGGAAAACAAUAAGCACACACCAUUUUAUCAUAAACAACCAGUUCUGUCUAUCCAGCCAAGGUAUAUUCUUCUUAUGUGGAACGUUGACCUAUAUCUGCCUCCCCACUAACUGGACAGGCACUAGCAUCUUAGUCUUUCUAAGUCCCAACAUUAACAUUGCCCCAGGAAAUCAGACCCUAUCAGUACCCCUCAAAACUCAAGUCCAUCAGCACAGAGCCAUACAACUAAUACCCCUACUUAUAGAGUUAGGAAUGGCUACUGCUACAGGAACCAGAAUAGCAAGAUUAUCUACUUCAUUAUCCUAACUACCACAUACUCUCAAAGGAUUUCUCGGACAGUUUACAAGAAAUAAUGAAAUCUAUCCUUACUCUACAAUCCCAAAUAGACUCUUUGGCAGCAGUGACUCUCCAAAACUGCUGAGGCCUAGACCUCCUCACUGCUGAGAAAGGAGGACUCUGGACCUUCUUAGGGGAAGAGUGCUGUUUUUACACUAACCAGUCAGGGAUAGUACGAGAUGCUGCCCGACAUUUAUAGGAAAAGGCUUCUGAAAUCAGACAACACCUUUCAAACUCUUAUACCAACCUCUGGAGUUAGGCAUCAUGGCUUCUCCCCUUUCUAGGUCCCAUGACAGACAUCUUGCUAUUACUCACCUUGGGGCCCUGUAUUUUUAAUCUCCUUGUCAAAUUUGUUUCCUCUAGGAUCAAGGCCAUCAAACUACAGAUGGUCUUAGAAAUGGAACCCCAAAUGAGCUUAACUAACAACUUCUACUGAGGACCCCUGAACUGAUCCACUGGCCCUUUCACUUGCCUAAAAGGUUCCCCUCUGGAGGACACUACGGCUUCAGAGCCCCUUCUUUGCCCUAUCCAGCAGGAAGUAGCUAGAAUGGUCAUUGCCCAAUUCCCAACAGCAAUCGGGGUGUCCUGUUUGAGGGGGGGGAUUGAGAGGUGAAGCCAGCUGAGCUUCUGGGUUGGGUGGGGACUUGGGGUACUUUUCUGUCUAACUAAAGGAUUGUAAACGCACCAAUCAGUGCUCUGUGUCUAGCUAAAAGUUUGUAAAUGCACCAAUCAGCACUCUGUAAAAAUGGAUCAAUCAGCACUCUGUAAAAUGGACCAGUCAGUGCUCUGUAAAAUGGACCAAUCAGCAGGAUGUGGGCAGGGCCAAAUAAGGGAAUAAAAGCUGGCCACCUGAGCCAGCAGCAGCAACCCGCUGGGGUCCCCUUCCACACUGUGGAAGCUUUGUUAUUUCGCUCUUUGCAAUAAAUCUUGCUGCUGCUCACUCUUCGGGUCCGCACUACCUUUAUGAGCUGUAACACUUACUGCAAAGGUCUGCCCCUUCACUCCUAAAGACAGUGAGAACCACGAACCCACUGGAGGGAAGGAACAACUCUGGACGCGCUACCUUUAAGAGCUGUAACACUCACUGCGAAGGUCUGCAGCUUAACUCCUGAAGUCAGUGAGACCAAGAACCCACCAGAACGAACCAAUUCUGGAUA